GAAGAGGCCCUAGUUGAUUUUUAGAGAGAGAAAAGGAAGAUGGGAUACUGAUUUGGGAUAGUUUGAAGAGGAUUUUUCUCUCUGAUUUGAGAGAAAGCCCUAACUAUACUGAUUUGUGAAGAGGCCUUAAUUGAGUUUUACCGAGAGAUAAGGUAGAGGUUUUUUUCAUUUUCUAGGGGAAACAACGAGCAGAGCUGGAAACCUAAUCCUCUAUGUACAAUUUCUUGCUCCUGUUUUUUUGGCAGAUUUUGGUGAAAUUCAGCUGUAAAAUUUUGAUAUUCGGUUGCUCGCAAUUCAGCCAAAAACCCUAGCCCUAACCCUAUAAGACCUUGUUUAUGGCGGAUUCUAGUGACCCUAUGCCCACUGAACCAGUAUGUAGUUUUUUUAGAAAACCAACAAAGAACAAGAAUAUAAGAAAGCGAAAUUUAGAAGAGAAUGAUUCAGAGGGGGAAGAUGAAUCUCCAUCUGUGUCUUUGAACCACAAAGUACCUAAGAAACCAGACAACAAGCUGUUCUUCUCGACUGUCGGCCCUUCCAGAGUUCCUUCAGAAACCCUAGAACAAGCUCCAUCCUCGAAAGCAACUGUCUUUCACUUUGAAUCCUCAAAGGAGAUACAGGUCGAACACGAUAGCCGAGCAACUGCAACACUUGAAACAGAAACUGAUUUCUCAAACGACGCCCGAGCCAUUAGAGAGAGGAUCCUUAAACAAGAAGAGGAAAGACUCAGAGGUAAUAAACGAGAUGAGAAACUUUACCAAGGAAUUCAUGGGUACACAGAUUACAAGGCUGGUUUUCGGCGAGAACACACAGUCGCCUCUGAGAAAGCAGGGGGAGCUCAUGGUCCACUUAGGGCUCCAGUGAACUACAGGGCAUCCGCUCGUUUCGACUACCAGCCUGAUAUAUGCAAGGAUUAUAAGGAGACAGGUUAUUGUGGGUUUGGAGAUGCUUGCAAAUUUAUGCAUGACAGGGGAGAUUAUAAGAGCGGCUGGCAAAUGGAGAGAGAGUGGGAGGAGGCAGAGAAAGAGAGGAAGAGGAGGUUGGCAAUGGGUGGAGGAGACGACGAAACAGGUGGAAGAGAUGGGCAUGAGAGUGACGAUGAAGAUGAUUCUUUGCCUUUUGCUUGUUUUAUAUGUAGAGAAAGGUUCAAGGAGCCAGUUGUAACCAAGUGCAAGCACUACUUCUGUGCUUGUUGCGCAAUAGAGCAUCAUAAAAAAAACAAGAAGUGCUUUGUCUGUGACAAACCAACGCUUGGCAUAUUCAACACGGCUCAUGAGAUCAAGAAAAAGAUGGCAGAGGAAAAAUGAGAACUUCAUAUUCUGCUCUUCUAUAACCGUUGGAGAUAAAAUAUGAGCUUUAGCAGGGCUUAACUGAAGAAGGUGGCAAUCUUUUUGGGAAAAUGCAAUUGUUGGGCAUGAGACCAGAUGGGUUUUCUCGCUCUAUACUUCUUGGUGGGUUUUCCAUGGUUUUAUCAUUGGAAACCCAAUGUCCGGGUGACCCAUUUUUGGGGACUAAUUUAAUGGGCUUACUUUAUUUUGUGAUUUGAAUCGAAAACUGCAACAAAUCUUUUUCAUGAAGUGCCCAAGAAGAACUGGGUUUCAAGGAAAAUUACAAUUGGAGGUUUAGCACAAAAUAGCAGGUCAGAUAAGAGCUUAGAGAUGUUAAAGAUGAUGAUGAUGAGAGAAUCAAACUGAGUUCAGAGGUUUUUUCGAGUAUCUUGAGGCCCCGCUCAAAUUGUGAGGACUUGAUCUCUGGUGCAGCACUCCAUUGUUGCGUUAUAAAGCAUGGUCUUUGCUCCGAUCCUUAUAUCUAUCACUCUCUCCCUUUCUCUCUCUCUCUCAUAAACAUGUAUGGAAAAUUUUCUCAGAUGGAGAAAUCAUGGCUGGUUUCCAAUGGAACUUCUCUAAAAGAAUUGGCUUCAUGGGCUCCAUGAUUUCUUUGUGUAUUUAUAAUAAACUUGGCAAAAAGGCAUUGAAGUUAUAUAAACUGAUGAAAUUUAGUGGGGCAAAGCCAUAUUAUUGUAGUCUAUCUAAUGCAUUAUGAGCCUGUAAUUUAAUGAGCUUCUUAGA
RNA transcript from Amborella trichopoda, 2066 nucleotides. It is a transcript of the gene named Zinc finger (CCCH-type/C3HC4-type RING finger) family protein, with no coding region annotated. Lineage: Eukaryota; Viridiplantae; Streptophyta; Magnoliopsida; Amborellales; Amborellaceae. The record is from RefSeq and is a predicted model, not a curated record.